Molecule: ribosomal RNA, 418 nt
Filed under: Hemidactylus mabouia
Lineage: Eukaryota; Metazoa; Chordata; Lepidosauria; Squamata; Gekkonidae
Description: partial 16S ribosomal RNA
Rfam family: Bacterial large subunit ribosomal RNA
Source: RNAcentral
UAAGGACCCGUAUGAAUGGCUAAUUGAGGGUGACACUGUCUCAUACGAUUAAUCAAUGAACCUGAUCUCCCAGUACAAAAGCUGGGAUAAAACCACAAGACGAGAAGACCCUGUGGAGCUUAAAGCCAAAAUACUGACUCACCCUAAAACAGUAUUCACCUUAAGUUGGGGCAACUACGGAGAAAAACAGAACCUCCGCGAUAAAGGAGCUUAACACCACCAAGGGGGACACCCCAAAAAGUGAUGCCCCUUAUGACCCAGUAAAACUGAGUACCGAACCAAGUUACCCCAGGGAUAACAGCGCCAUCCCCCUCAAGAGUCCACAUCAACAGGGGGGCUUACGACCUCGAUGUUGGAUCAGGACACCCAGGUGGUGCAGCCGCUACCAAUGGUCCGUUUGUUCAACGGCUAACGUCCU